GAAGAUUUGAAACAACAAAAAUGACCACAAUUAUUAUACCGGUAAAUAUGGCUUUGGUGUUUCGCUGUUGCAAUGCGAAUGCCAAACGAGAUUUGGUCACAUCUGGCCUUUGCGUCACGUUGCAAGUUUGCUGAAUAUUUUUCGAAUGUUUAUGAAGUGAGAAGCAAAGUUUAGCAUAAAGAAGGCUUAAAAAUAUUAUAGGCAGUAAAAAUUGUAAGGCUAGCUGACUAUGCAAGUAAAUAUCGUAUAAAAAUAUACCCAAAUAUGUAUCAGAACAGAGGUUAGAAUAGUUAGAAUGUGUUUCGGCGUCAAGCGAAACGAAUUUUGGCGCCA
This is a non-coding RNA of Paramuricea clavata, 333 nucleotides long. The record is from the annotation of a GenBank genome assembly. Lineage: Eukaryota; Metazoa; Cnidaria; Anthozoa; Malacalcyonacea; Plexauridae.